GCUCAGCAUCAAGAGUCGGACCAAGUUCGACGCCAACCUGCUCCCGAGCAAGGUGGCGCCUCCGGUAACGGAGGGAUGUGGCCGGACCGGCAACCAACGGGAUCCCU
This 107-nucleotide non-coding RNA is filed under the name Sphingomonas endophytica. RNAcentral's name for it is "SAM-I-IV sequence". It matches the Rfam family "SAM-I/IV (S-adenosyl methionine) riboswitch aptamer". From Rfam's summary of the family: It is found upstream of a number of genes which code for proteins involved in methionine or cysteine biosynthesis. The record is from RNAcentral. Lineage: Bacteria; Pseudomonadati; Pseudomonadota; Alphaproteobacteria; Sphingomonadales; Sphingomonadaceae.